GAUGAACGCUGGCGGCGUGCCUAAUACAUGCAAGUCGAGCGAACGGACGAGAAGCUUGCUUCUCUGAUGUUAGCGGCGGACGGGUGAGUAACACGUGGAUAACCUACCUAUAAGACUGGGAUAACUUCGGGACACCGGAGCUAAUACCGGAUGAUAUUUUGAACCGCAUGGUUCAAAAGUGAAAGACGGUCUUGCUGUCACUUAUAGAUGGAUCCGCGCUGCAUUAGCUAGUUGGUAAGGUAACGGCUUACCAAGGCAACGAUGCAUAGCCGACCUGAGAGGGUGAUCGGCCACACUGGAACUGAGACACGGUCCAGACUCCUACGGGAGGCAGCAGUAGGGAAUCUUCCGCAAUGGGCGAAAGCCUGACGGAGCAACGCCGCGUGAGUGAUGAAGGUCUUCGGAUCGUAAAACUCUGUUAUUAGGGAAGAACAGAUGUGUAAGUAACUGUGCACAUCUUGACGGUACCUAAUCAGAAAGCCACGGCUAACUACGUG
This 497-nucleotide ribosomal RNA is filed under the name uncultured bacterium. Its description in RNAcentral is "partial 16S ribosomal RNA". It matches the Rfam family "Bacterial small subunit ribosomal RNA", at positions 28 to 507 of the family's 1533-position model. The record is from RNAcentral.